Molecule: transfer RNA, 77 nt
Filed under: Candidatus Zixiibacteriota bacterium
Lineage: Bacteria; Pseudomonadati; Candidatus Zixiibacteriota
Also listed under: 1 other name
Description: tRNA-Met
Rfam family: tRNA
About the family: Transfer RNA (tRNA) molecules are approximately 80 nucleotides in length.
Source: RNAcentral
CGCGGGGUGGAGCAGUCUGGUAGCUCGUCGGGCUCAUAACCCGAAGGUCCCUGGUUCAAAUCCAGGCCCCGCUACCA